GGGAAUGUAGCUUAGUGAUAGAGUGCUUGCCUUGCAUGCAUGAGGCCCUGGGUUCAAAACCUCAGUACCU
This 70-nucleotide transfer RNA is filed under the name Dipodomys ordii (Ord's kangaroo rat). It matches the Rfam family "tRNA". From Rfam's summary of the family: Transfer RNA (tRNA) molecules are approximately 80 nucleotides in length. Their secondary structure includes four short double-helical elements and three loops (D, anti-codon, and T loops). The record is from Rfam by way of RNAcentral. Lineage: Eukaryota; Metazoa; Chordata; Mammalia; Rodentia; Heteromyidae.